GCCCGCCUGGCGAAAUUGGCAGACGCACCUGGCUUAGGUCCAGACGCCGCAAGGCAUUGUCGGUUCGAGUCCGACGGUGGGCACCA
This 86-nucleotide transfer RNA is filed under the name Burkholderia sp. M701. RNAcentral describes it as "tRNA-Leu". It matches the Rfam family "tRNA". From Rfam's summary of the family: Transfer RNA (tRNA) molecules are approximately 80 nucleotides in length. Their secondary structure includes four short double-helical elements and three loops (D, anti-codon, and T loops). Further hydrogen bonds mediate the characteristic L-shaped molecular structure. tRNAs have two regions of fundamental functional importance: the anti-codon, which is responsible for specific mRNA codon recognition, and the 3' end, to which the tRNAs corresponding amino acid is attached (by aminoacyl-tRNA synthetases). tRNAs cope with the degeneracy of the genetic code in two manners: having more than one tRNA (with a specific anti-codon) for a particular amino acid; and 'wobble' base-pairing, i.e. permitting non-standard base-pairing at the 3rd anti-codon position. RNAcentral also lists the same sequence under 1 other name. Lineage: Bacteria; Pseudomonadati; Pseudomonadota; Betaproteobacteria; Burkholderiales; Burkholderiaceae. The record is from RNAcentral.